UGUCGAAUACAGUCUUUUUUUUUAAAAAAUUCCGUUCUUCUACUUUAGGAGUUCUCGUAGUCAAACUUGUCUACAUUGCUCAUUAGCCGAGAGAAACAAACAUAAGCAUCCUCUCUUACAAGAAGGUUGAAGAAGGGAAAACGAAGCCUUGGGACUAUAUCCAGUAUUUUCCAUUUUCUGCUGUGCCAGCCUUUGAAGUUGACAAGACUGUGCAAUAUUUUGUAUUUUCCUCUUUCUUUCCGGAUAAAGAUACAUGUAUGUAUGUAGAUGUGAAUGAUAAUGUUUAGGGUGUGAAUGUGUAGAUGUAUGAUAGGGUGUGAGUAUAUAGAUGUAUGUUUAGGGUGUGAAUGUAUAAAUAGAUGAAUGUUUAGGGUGCGAUGGUUUAGAUGUAUGUUAGGGUGUGAUAGUAUAGAUGUAUUAUUAGGGUGUGAUUGUAUAGAUGUAUAAAUAGGGGGAGAUUGUAUAGUUGUAUGUAUAGGUUGUAUAGAUGGGCGUGUGAGUGAGCAUAGCGCCCAAUGCGUGACUAGUGUAGUUCCUACAGCAACCUACAACAAAUCGCUAGACACACACAAGAAAAUAACAACCACUCUAAAAUAACAAAAACAAACAAACCUUGGAAUGACAGUCGCCCAAAUGACAGGUACCCGAAGCCCCUAUUUAAUGAAUUUGAACCUGACCCGAAAUCUUAGUUUAUUUUAAAUAACUAAACACGAAAAACGUGAAUCCGAAAUACUCGAAAUAAAACUUACACACACAACUAAAAGAAUAAAGAAAGUUUUUUAGUAACAAAAAUGGUAGUCGAAACAUUAAAUAAAUCUUAAAAGCACAAAAACAGCAAAAUAAGUCUAAAAACAGUAAACAAAUUUUUUAGUAACAAAAAAGGAAAACAAACGAAACACUAAAUAAAUCUUAAAUCGCAGCACAAAAACAGCAAAAUAAGUCGAAAAACA
RNAcentral lists this small RNA (950 nucleotides) under Arabidopsis thaliana (thale cress). RNAcentral's name for it is "putative long intergenic non-coding RNA". The record is from RNAcentral. Lineage: Eukaryota; Viridiplantae; Streptophyta; Magnoliopsida; Brassicales; Brassicaceae.